UGAACGCUAGCGGCAGGCUUAACACAUGCAAGUCGAGGGGCAGCGCGUCGUAGCAAUACGAUGGCGGCGACCGGCGGAAGGAUGCGUAACGCGUGAGCAACUUGCCCGUCACAGGGGGGAUAACCGGUGGAAACGCCGACUAACACCCCGUAACACAUUUCGCUGCAUGGCGAGAUGUUGAAAACUCCGGUGGUGACGGAUAGGCUCGCGUGCCAUUAGCUAGUCGGCGGGGCAACGGCCCACCGAGGCGACGAUGGCUAGGGGUUCUGAGAGGAAGGCCCCCCACACUGGGACUGAGACACGGCCCAGACUCCUACGGGAGGCAGCAGUGAGGAAUAUUGGACAAUGGAGGCAACUCUGAUCCAGCCAUGCCGCGUGAAGGACUAAGGCCCUAUGGGCUGUAAACUUCUUUAGACGCAGAGCAAUAAGGGCCACGCGUGGUCCGAUGAGAGUAUGCGUAGAAUAAGCAUCGGCUAACUCCGUG
RNAcentral lists this ribosomal RNA (484 nucleotides) under uncultured bacterium. RNAcentral's name for it is "bacterial SSU rRNA". It matches the Rfam family "Bacterial small subunit ribosomal RNA", at positions 30 to 507 of the family's 1533-position model. The record is from RNAcentral.